Molecule: long non-coding RNA, 594 nt
Organism: Orcinus orca (killer whale)
Lineage: Eukaryota; Metazoa; Chordata; Mammalia; Artiodactyla; Delphinidae
Exons: 2
Source: RefSeq, a predicted model, not a curated record
CCUCCUCUGAAAGCCAAAGGGAACAAUUACAUCAUUAGAAGAGCCAUGGACCGGUCACCUCCUACUGUGUGCUUGGCACUGUGCUGGGCACUGCGUAGCACCAUUCAGUUCGUGGGACAAUCUCACGAGGAAGUUCUUUUAGCACUCGCAUUGUACAGACAAAGAAACUGAGCCUACGAGGACAUUCCUUCAACAGAUUUAUUAAGUGCCAGGCUCUACUCUGCGGUGGAGCAAACCAGACAAUGAAGGAGACUGCAAUCCAGGGGAGGAAGAAUGAUGACAAGAAAGAAAGAAAGAAGUAAAUAAAUCAGGUCAUUCCAGAAAGUGACAAGUGUCAUGAAGGGAAUAAAUGGGCUGUGUCGAGUCAGAGCAGGGGCUUGAUAAACUACGGCCCUUGGACCAAAUGCGGCCCACCACCUGUUGUUGUAAAUAAAGUUUCAUUGGAACAUGGCUAUGCCCAUUUGGAUACAUAUUGUUUAUGGCUGUUACCACAGCACAGCUGAGUAGCUGAGACAGAGAUUGUAUAUGGCCCACAAAGCUGAAAAAUUUGCUAUCUAUCUAGCCCUUUACAAUAAAAGCUUGCUGAUUCCUGGG